AAAUUGAAGAGUUUGAUCAUGGCUCAGAUUGAACGCUGGCGGCAGGCCUAACACAUGCAAGUCGAACGGUAACAGGAAGCAGCUUACUGCUUUGCUGACGAGUGGCGGACGGGUGAGUAAUGUCUGGGAAACUGCCUGAUGGAGGGGGAUAACUACUGGAAACGGUAGCUAAUACCGCAUAACGUCGCAAGACCAAAGAGGGGGACCUUCGGGCCUCUUGCCAUCGGAUGUGCCCAGAUGGGAUUAGCUAGUAGGUGGGGUAA
Molecule: ribosomal RNA, 263 nt
Filed under: Escherichia coli
Lineage: Bacteria; Pseudomonadati; Pseudomonadota; Gammaproteobacteria; Enterobacterales; Enterobacteriaceae
Description: partial 16S ribosomal RNA
Rfam family: Bacterial small subunit ribosomal RNA
Source: RNAcentral